This 375-nucleotide ribosomal RNA is filed under the name uncultured bacterium. RNAcentral's name for it is "bacterial SSU rRNA". It matches the Rfam family "Bacterial small subunit ribosomal RNA", at positions 28 to 414 of the family's 1533-position model. The record is from RNAcentral.
GAUGAACGCUAGCGGCAGGCUUAAUACAUGCAAGUCAAGGGGGUAGCAAUACAACCGGCGCACGGGUGAGUAACGCGUACACAACAUACCAUAUACUGGAGUAUAGCUUUGGGAAACUGAAGGUAAUCCUCCAUAACAUUGCGAGAGGGCAUCUGAUUGCAAUUAAAGUUUCGGCGGUAUAUGAUUGGUGUGCGUUUGAUUAGCUAAUUGGUAGGGUAACGGCCUACCAAGGCGACGAUCAAUAGCUGGCGGGAGAGCGCGACCAGCCACACUGGAACUGAGACACGGUCCAGACUCCUACGGGAGGCAGCAGUAGGGAAUAUUGGACAAUGGAGGAAACGUACUGAUCCAGCCAUGCCGCGUGAUAGAUGAAGG